GCUCGCUUCGGCAGCCCAUGUACUAAAAUUGGAAUGACACAGAGAAGAUUAGCAUGGCCCCUUCAUAAGCCUGAUGUGCAAAUUCGUGAAGCAUUUCAUAUUUAA
RNAcentral lists this small nuclear RNA (105 nucleotides) under Moschus moschiferus (Siberian musk deer). Lineage: Eukaryota; Metazoa; Chordata; Mammalia; Artiodactyla; Moschidae. The record is from RNAcentral.